AACGCGAAGAACCUUACCUGGGCUCGAACGGCUUCAGAUCAUCUGUGGAAACACGGACUUCCCGCAAGGGACUGGAGUCGAGGUGCUGCAUGGCUGUCGUCAGCUCGUGUCGUGAGAUGUUGGGUUAAGUCCCGCAACGAGCGCAACCCUUGUCCUGUGUUGCCACUCCCGUAAGGGAAGCACUCUCAGGAGACCGCCAGCGAUAAGCUGGAGGAAGGUGGGGAUGAUGUCAAGUCAUCAUGGCCUUUAUGUCCAGGGCUACACACGUGCUACAAUGGACGGUACAAAGCGCUGCUAACCCGCGAGGGGGAGCCAAUCGCAAAAAACCGUUCUCAGUUCGGAUCGCAGGCUGCAACCCGCCUGCGUGAAGCUGGAAUCGCUAGUAAUGGCGUAUCAGAACGACGCCGUGAAUACGUUCCCGGGUCUUGUACACACGC
This 437-nucleotide ribosomal RNA is filed under the name uncultured Acidobacteriota bacterium. Its description in RNAcentral is "bacterial SSU rRNA". It matches the Rfam family "Bacterial small subunit ribosomal RNA", at positions 958 to 1393 of the family's 1533-position model. Lineage: Bacteria; Pseudomonadati; Acidobacteriota. The record is from RNAcentral.